RNAcentral lists this ribosomal RNA (393 nucleotides) under uncultured bacterium. Its description in RNAcentral is "partial 16S ribosomal RNA". It matches the Rfam family "Bacterial small subunit ribosomal RNA", at positions 523 to 918 of the family's 1533-position model. The record is from RNAcentral.
AUACGGAGGAUCCGAGCGUUAUCCGGAUUUAUUGGGUUUAAAGGGUGCGCAGGCGGGAGAUUAAGUCGGCGGUGAGGUUUUGCAGCUCAACUGUAAAAGUGCCUUCGAAACUGGUUUCCUUGAGUGUAGAUGAAGUAGGCGGAAUUUGUGGUGUAGCGGUGAAAUGCAUAGAUAUCACGAGGAACUCCGAUUGCGCAGGCAGCUUACUAAACUACUACUGACGCUCAGGCACGAAGGCGUGGGGAUCAAACAGGAUUAGAUACCCUGGUAGUCCACGCAGUAAACGAUGAUUACUAGCUGUUUGCGAUACAAUGUAAGCGGCUGAGCGAAAGCGUUAAGUAAUCCACCUGGGGAGUACGUUCGCAAGAAUGAAACUCAAAUGAAUUGGCGGGG